RNAcentral lists this ribosomal RNA (195 nucleotides) under uncultured Verrucomicrobiales bacterium. RNAcentral describes it as "partial 16S ribosomal RNA". It matches the Rfam family "Bacterial small subunit ribosomal RNA", at positions 338 to 524 of the family's 1533-position model. Lineage: Bacteria; Pseudomonadati; Verrucomicrobiota; Verrucomicrobiia; Verrucomicrobiales. The record is from RNAcentral.
CCUACGGGAGGCAGCAGUCGAGAAUUUUUCACAAUGGACGAAAGUCUGAUGGAGCUACGCCUCUUUUAGGAUGACUGUUCUUGGAUUGUAAACUCCUGUCACUGCAGAACAAGGAUAAGCGUAUGAACAGUACGUUUAUUUGAUGGUAUGCGGAGAGGAAGGGACGGCUAACUCUGUGCCAGCAGCCGCGGUAAG